AAAUUCAUUUAAAAAUACUUUUGGUGCAUUUUCAUUUCAUUUGUUUGCAUUUUAUAUUUGUGUGACCUUUGUGAACUUCUGUUGGCCUUGGAUCAUGAUGAUUUAGAUUAUGAGUCUCAUCAAACUCAAUGGAUCUUGGAUGUUGAUGGGGUGAAAACCCUAAUCCACCAAAAUGGAUGAUUGAUUUUGAUGAUGACUUGAUCAAACUUUU
This 211-nucleotide long non-coding RNA is filed under the name Lathyrus oleraceus (garden pea). RNAcentral's name for it is "Pisum sativum (pea) long non-coding RNA (PSAT_LNC018287)". Lineage: Eukaryota; Viridiplantae; Streptophyta; Magnoliopsida; Fabales; Fabaceae. The record is from RNAcentral.